Molecule: long non-coding RNA, 436 nt
Filed under: Astyanax mexicanus (Mexican tetra)
Lineage: Eukaryota; Metazoa; Chordata; Actinopteri; Characiformes; Acestrorhamphidae
Description: lncRNA (ENSAMXG00005017459.1)
Source: RNAcentral
AUGUCAUUUAUACACAUUCAAUUAAAAUGCACUUGUUGUCUUAUUAUUAUUAUUAUUAUUAUUAUGUUUUCCUGCUUUAGCAGAAUUAGCGCUGAGAAGCGGUUGGGAAGCUGGAGCUGUUGGAUGGUUCAGCAGCAGCAACAGGUGCAUGGGAGGAUGUGGAAAACUGGCAUUGAAAACACGCACAAGCAAUGAUCCAGCAGUCCUGGAGUAGUAAAAAGGUGAUGAAGACUAUGCACACCCACAGCCAUGGUCUUGCCUUACCCACAGUGCACCUCUCUGCUCCGGGCACAAGAUGAAUCCUCCACUACUCAUGACCAGGAGUGCAGGUCAUCAGAAAUUAGCCACCUGACAUCAGUUUAUUUGUCUGUUUUUAUUUUUAUGUAUAUUUUGUAUGAAUAUGUGAAACAUAAUAAAAAUGUAUUAAAAUAAGCUA